RNAcentral lists this ribosomal RNA (114 nucleotides) under Chrysemys picta bellii (western painted turtle). Lineage: Eukaryota; Metazoa; Chordata; Testudines; Emydidae. The record is from RNAcentral.
GCAGCCGUUGACUCCUGAGGGUUGUAACCUUAUCAGAGCUUGUAAUUUAAGUAAGAUAAGGCCUGGUGAAUACUUGGAAGGGAGACCUCCAAGGAAUAAAAGGAGACCCAUGCU